Long non-coding RNA from Durio zibethinus, 483 nucleotides. RefSeq lists it as uncharacterized. The record is from RefSeq and is a predicted model, not a curated record. Lineage: Eukaryota; Viridiplantae; Streptophyta; Magnoliopsida; Malvales; Malvaceae.
CCCAAAGUGAAGUAUUUGUUCAACAAAAUGAGCAUUCCUACUGUAGCCCGUUAAAAGUACCGAGACGCCCAAAACCAAUUCAAUUCAGGCGGGAUAAUCCCAUCAUCCUCCACCGUUUUAUUCAUCAUGAGCCGCCCGCCACCGCGCAUCCUCAUCACCUUCCGAUUAACUGAAAAUCAUGGGGACACCACCAUCAAUCACCGACGUCUUCGAUCGACUUGUGUCUCACCUUCAAUUACUGAUCAGGAAACGCCAAAACGUAGAGGAAGUUCUGUCUCUAAAUUUCGAAGUUAAACCAAGCUUUAAACCUCAACGAAAACCCUAAUUCUAGGGUUAGGGUUUUGGAUACUGCUCUCUCUUGUAUUUCAAGGCACCCCAGUGAUUGCGUAUUUGGUGGGAGAGUCUUCUGUCAACUCAAUUUUUACUAUCACUCUAAUGUAUACAACGGGAGAGAUCUUCAAUGUUAUGAAAAGAAAAUUGUAA